GUGAGGAAUUUUCAGCAAUGGGCGAAAGCCUGACCCAGCCACGCCGCGUGAGUGAUGAAGGCCUUCGGGUUGUAAAGCUCUGUGGGGAGGGAAGAAAAAGCGGGAGAGUAACUGCUCUCGUGUUGACGGUACCUCCUUAGCAAGCACCGGCUAACUCUGUGCCAGCAGCCGCGGUAAUACAGAGGGUGCACACGUUGCUCGGAAUUACUGGGCGUAAAGCGCGUGUAGGCUGACAUGCAAGUCGGGUGUGAAAUCCCAGGGCUCAACCUUGGAACUGCACUCGAAACUGCACGUCUUGAGUACUGGAGAGGGAAGCGGAAUUCCGGGUGUAGAGGUGAAAUUCGUAGAUAUCCGGAGGAACACCAGUGGCGAAGGCGGCUUCCUGGACAGUAACUGACGCUGAGACGCGAAAGCGUGGGGAGCAAACAGGAUUAGAAACCCGAGUAGUCC
This 450-nucleotide ribosomal RNA is filed under the name uncultured bacterium. Its description in RNAcentral is "partial 16S ribosomal RNA". It matches the Rfam family "Bacterial small subunit ribosomal RNA", at positions 354 to 796 of the family's 1533-position model. The record is from RNAcentral.